GGGUGAUCUGGCUGUGGCGUCUGCCAUUUUCUUGAUUACUAAGGCUGAUUCCUCUGACCUGGUAGGGUAGGUCCUGUCUUCCUUUUACUGCCCCACGUGUCCUUUCUGAGCUAUUUGCUAAAGGGUUUCUGAUAGAGCCUGCUCUUUGGUCACGUCUACAUGGGAACCUGUGCUCCCAUGCUACAGCCUCUAAAUCAAGUGCUUCAUGGCCUUAUGGAGGAUGACGUAGGGUAGAAAGCUUCUGAGACUCCAGAUACAUCCACACGAGGUCCUGUGCAUGGCAGCCUGCCUUUCACU
RNAcentral lists this small nuclear RNA (297 nucleotides) under Nannospalax galili (Upper Galilee mountains blind mole rat). Its description in RNAcentral is "7SK RNA (ENSNGAG00000002538.1)". It matches the Rfam family "7SK RNA". Rfam says of the family: 7SK was discovered as an abundant small nuclear RNA in the mid-70s but a possible function has only recently been suggested. Two independent studies have found that 7SK RNA binds the CDK9/cyclin T complex (known as elongation factor P-TEFb). The record is from Rfam by way of RNAcentral. Lineage: Eukaryota; Metazoa; Chordata; Mammalia; Rodentia; Spalacidae.